Long non-coding RNA from Diprion similis, 925 nucleotides. RefSeq lists it as uncharacterized. The transcript is spliced from 3 exons. Lineage: Eukaryota; Metazoa; Arthropoda; Insecta; Hymenoptera; Diprionidae. The record is from RefSeq and is a predicted model, not a curated record.
GUCAAAGGUCCCCCUAAAAUAGCAACGAAGUCAUAGUAGGUGGGUGAAACAUUGAUCAGGUAACUUGGCCUCCCUUAUCCGCGGCACGGGGAGGCCUCGCGUCAAGAAUACAGAGCUGAUAUCGAGUGUCUGGUGGGUAUUAUGCAUAUAACAGGUAUAGGUCAGAGAGGGUGAAGUAGAUACUUGACACUCGAGCCAAAGGGCGACCCUUGUGUCUGAUCCAUAUUGACUGAAAUGCAUUUUUUAUGACUCGAUGUACAUUUCGCAGGGAUUAUUUUUCACAAGACUAUAGAGAGCGACGGAAUAGACAGUAAUUUUUGUGAAUUUAUUCCACAACACUGUGUGAGAUCAAGUAACUGUAUUUCUCUUCAAUGCAUGUCAAACAUACUGAGACAAUAAUAAUGAUGAAAUUUUUCAAGAUUGUUCGAUUGCUGGGGGAAAAAACAGUACGGAAAGAUGGAGAAGAGGCGAUGCUGAGAGAGGGACGUUCGCCGCACAAUGGGAGUCGAAGACAAUGAAAACAAUGGCCGAGGAUGGAUGACGGAGGUGGAGUUUUCUGAAAGUUAAAAAUGCUGAAAGAAAUAACAGCAAGGCUUGAACUCAAGUGUCUAUUGUGAACGCAAAAGACAGCGAUAGAUCAUGCGAAGAAGCCCACAGGAAAGAUACGGGGAUUCAAAAAUUAUGGAAAAGAUGCUGGAAGAUUUUUUAAAUUCUUGAGAAGAUUAUCAGAGGAAUGUUUCAGAAUGCAACGAAAGUGAACAAGAGCUUAGAAGGAUGCUUAAGAGUCGUCAAAAUCAAGACAAGGCUUCCCUCGUGUCUCAGUGAUGGCAAUGAAUCCCACGGUGAUCUUUUGUGUCCUGUGUACGACGGAUUCCCCGAGUUCGAGGCUGCGGAACCCAAAGUUGAACUUCCCGAUUGCCAACCA